GAUGAACGCUGGCGGCGUGCCUAAUACAUGCAAGUCGAGCGAACGGACGAUAAGCUUUCUUCUCUGAUGUUAUCGGCUGACGUGUGAUUAACACGUGUAUAACCUACCUUUAAUACUUGUAUAACUUCGGGAAACCUUAUCUACUACCGUAUGAUAUUUUGAACCGCAUGGUUCAAAAGUUAAAUACGUUCUUGCUGUCUCUUAUAGAUGGUUCCGCGCUGCAUUAGCUAGUUGGUAAGGUAACGGCUUACCAAGGCAACGAUGCAUAGCCGACCUGAGAGGGUGAUCGGACACACGGGAACUGAGAAAGGGAAAAGAGUACGACGGGAGGAAGAAGUAGGGAAUAUUCCGAAAUGGGGGAAAGCAUGAAGGAGCAAAGACGCGGGAGUGAUGAAGGUCUUAGGAUCGUAAAACUAUGUUAUUAGGGAAGAAAAGAUGUGUAAGUAAAUGUGCACAUAGUGACGGUAACGAAUCAGAAAGCAACGGCUAACUACGUG
This 497-nucleotide ribosomal RNA is filed under the name uncultured bacterium. Its description in RNAcentral is "partial 16S ribosomal RNA". It matches the Rfam family "Bacterial small subunit ribosomal RNA", at positions 28 to 507 of the family's 1533-position model. The record is from RNAcentral.